RNAcentral lists this ribosomal RNA (1069 nucleotides) under uncultured bacterium. RNAcentral describes it as "bacterial SSU rRNA". It matches the Rfam family "Bacterial small subunit ribosomal RNA", at positions 9 to 1075 of the family's 1533-position model. The record is from RNAcentral.
GAGUUUGAUCCUGGCUCAGGACGAACGCUGGCGGCGUGCCUAACACAUGCAAGUCGAGCGGACUAUAUUUUGGAAGGUGCUUGCACUGGAAGGAAUAGAGUUAGCGGCGGACGGGUGAGUAACGCGUGAGCAAUCUGUCCCAUACAGGGGGAUAAUACCGCGAAAGUGGUUCUAAUACCGCAUGAGACCACAGUGAGGCAUCUCACAGGGGUCAAAGGAGGAAUCCGGUAUGGGGUGAGCUCGCGUCCGAUUAGAUAGUAGGUGAGGUAACGGCCCACCUAGUCGACGAUCGGUAGCCGACCUAAGAGGGUGAUCGGCCACAUUGGGACUGAGACACGGCCCAGACUCCUACGGGAGGCAGCAGUGGGGAAUAUUGGGCAAUGGGCGGAAGCCUGACCCAGCAACGCCGCGUGAGGGAAGAAGGUCUUCGGAUCGUAAACUUCUGUCCUAUUGGAAGAGGAGAAGACUGUACGAUAGGAGGAAGCCCCGGCUAACUACGUGCCAGCAGCCGCGGUAAUACGUAGGGGGCGAGCGUUGUCCGGAAUGAUUGGGCGUAAAGGGCGCGUAGGCGGCCUGAUAAGUCUGGAGUGAAAGUCCUGCUUUCAAGGUGGGAACUGCUUUGGAGACUGUCGGGCUUGAGUGCAGGAGAGGUUACUGGAAUUCCCAGUGUAGCGGUGAAAUGCGUAGAGAUUGGGAGGAACACCAGUGGCGAAGGCGAGUAACUGGACUGUAACUGACGCUGAGGCGCGAAAGUGUGGGGAGCAAACAGGAUUAGAUACCCUGGUAGUCCACACUGUAACCGAUGAGUGCUAGGUGUAGGAGGUAUCGACCCCUUCUGUGCCGGAGUUAACACAAUAAGCACUCCGCCUGGGGAGUACGGCCGCAAGGUUGAAACUCAAAGGAAUUGACGGGGGCCCGCACAAGCAGCGGAGCAUGUGGUUUAAUUCGACGCAACGCGAAGAACCUUACCAGGUCUUGACAUCCAGGUAAAGCGGCAGAGAAGCCGUGUGUGCUUGCACAAUCUAAGACAGGUGGUGCAUGGUUGUCGUCAGCUCGUGUCGUGAGAUGU